This 252-nucleotide ribosomal RNA is filed under the name uncultured bacterium. RNAcentral's name for it is "partial 16S ribosomal RNA". It matches the Rfam family "Bacterial small subunit ribosomal RNA", at positions 524 to 775 of the family's 1533-position model. The record is from RNAcentral.
UACGUAGGGUGCGAGCGUUAAUCGGAAUUACUGGGCGUAAAGCGUGCGCAGGCGGUUCGCUGUGUCCGAUGUGAAAGCCCCGGGCUUAACCUGGGAAUGGCAUUGGAAACUGGCGAGCUGGAGUGUGGCAGAGGGGGGUGGAAUUCCGCGUGUAGCAGUGAAAUGCGUAGAGAUGCGGAGGAACACCGAUGGCGAAGGCAGCCCCCUGGGUUAACACUGACGCUCAGGCACGAAAGCGUGGGGAGCAACAGG